RNAcentral lists this ribosomal RNA (719 nucleotides) under Phytophthora infestans (potato late blight agent). Its description in RNAcentral is "eukaryotic LSU rRNA". It matches the Rfam family "Eukaryotic large subunit ribosomal RNA", at positions 61 to 619 of the family's 3401-position model. Lineage: Eukaryota; Oomycota; Peronosporomycetes; Peronosporales; Peronosporaceae. The record is from RNAcentral.
GAAACUAACAAGGAUUCCCCUAGUAACGGCGAGUGAAGCGGGAAGAGCUCAAGCUUAAAAUCUCCGUGCAAGUUUUGCGCGGCGAAUUGUAGUCUAUAGAGGCGUGAUCAGUGUGGGCGCUUGGGGCAAGUUCCUUGGAAGAGGACAGCAUGGAGGGUGAUACUCCCGUUCAUCCCUGAGUUGCUCGUGCGUACGAUCCGUUUUCUUUGAGUCGCGUUGUUUGGGAAUGCAGCGCAAAGUAGGUGGUAAAUUCCAUCUAAAGCUAAAUAUUGGUGCGAGACCGAUAGCGAACAAGUACCGUGAGGGAAAGAUGAAAAGAACUUUGAAAAGAGAGUUAAAGAGUACCUGAAACUGCUGAAAGGGAACCGAAUCGUUUCCAGUGUCUAUAAUCCGUGGUAUAUUUCAUUGGCGAGUGUGUGCGUGCGUGUGCUGUGGCAGCGGCUUUUUUGGCUGCGCUCGGCGUGUGUGCUGUGUGUGCUUGCUGGUGCCCUGUGCUGCGGUGGGACGUCAAGGUCAGUUCGUAUGCUGCGGGAAAUGGCCGCCGAGGAGGUAGGGCUUACGCUUGCGUUUGUCUGUUAUAUCUUGGUGGACGAGUAGUCGCGGUUGGGACUGAGGUGCCUACAACGUGUUUUUGAGUGGGCCUGUGUCUCUGUGUGCGCCGUGUGCGGAUAGCUUGCUAUGCGUGUGUGGUUGUGUGUGGAUUGAUGUGGGUUUUAACU